Non-coding RNA from Oncorhynchus mykiss (rainbow trout), 229 nucleotides. Lineage: Eukaryota; Metazoa; Chordata; Actinopteri; Salmoniformes; Salmonidae. The record is from RefSeq and is a predicted model, not a curated record.
GGAGUUUAGUAGCAGACACAGAGACAGGUUCUAAAAGGAGUUUAGUAGCAGACACAGAGACAGGUUCUAAAAUGAGUUUAGUAGCAGACACAGAGACAGGUUCUAAAAGGAGUUUAGUAGCAGACACAGAGACAGGUUCUAAAAGGAGUUUAGUAGCAGACACAGAGACAGGUUCUAAAAGGAGUUUAGUAGCAGACACAGAGAUAGGUUCUAAAAGGAGUUUAGUAGC